AAUAUUUUAAGGUUUCUACCUUCUUAAUAUCUUCAAUAUUAUACUUUAAAAUAAGCUAUUAAAAUA
This 66-nucleotide transfer RNA is filed under the name Cautires sp. UPOL 000206. RNAcentral's name for it is "tRNA-Phe". Lineage: Eukaryota; Metazoa; Arthropoda; Insecta; Coleoptera; Lycidae. The record is from RNAcentral.